Molecule: long non-coding RNA, 502 nt
Filed under: Hordeum vulgare
Lineage: Eukaryota; Viridiplantae; Streptophyta; Magnoliopsida; Poales; Poaceae
Description: long non-coding RNA (HVUL_LNC008908)
Source: RNAcentral
UCACGGCUUGGAAAUCAUCUGGAAUGGGGAGGAACAAAGUUGCUUUGAGGUCUUGGGGGUUGAAUGUGAGCUGGAUUGUUGGCCGGUGCGUGUGGGCAGCUGGAUGCUUGCUUUCGCUUGGAGAAUCGGGAGCUCGAUGCUAUCUUCUGUAAUGUGUGGUGUGACAGCUGUGCUAUACAAUCUGCUGCAACUGGAUCUACUAAUGGAAAUGUGUAUUCAUCUGCUAGUGCCUUGUAGGAUCUAAACCAGUGUGCUGCGAUAAUUUGACUGCUACCUUAUUGAAGGGGUUAAGAUGCAUUUGAAUGAAAUCCCAUUCUCAAACGUAUAAUUGGGGUGUCUUAGAGCAUCUCUAGCCCAUCCCCAAAAGCUAAAUGUGGGGCGAUUUUUUGUUUGUUUGGGGAAUUAACGCCCAUCUAGGCCAUCCCCAUUUCCUUUAGCCCCCCCCCCCCCCCCCCCCCCCCCCCCCUCCCCCCACCCCCCCCCCCCCCCCCCCCCCCCCCCC